Long non-coding RNA from Pieris brassicae (large cabbage white), 492 nucleotides. RefSeq lists it as uncharacterized. The record is from RefSeq and is a predicted model, not a curated record. The transcript is spliced from 3 exons. Lineage: Eukaryota; Metazoa; Arthropoda; Insecta; Lepidoptera; Pieridae.
CCUAGAAUCAAGCCCUGAUGUGAAACAGAUUUACGAUGAUCUUCUCUAUAAUUAUAAUAGGCUUAUUCGCCCAGUUCAAUGUCAGUGACAUAUUAACUGUGAGACUUGGAAGCUAUCUCAACUUAUGGAGGUCAAACUAAAGAAUCAAUCAUGGCAACCAAACGAAAUGGCAGGAUUACAAGUUAACCAAGGACCCGGAUGACUACGGCGGUGUUGAGAUGUUGUACGAAUCCUCGGAACACAUUUGGUUGCCAGACGUAGUAUGUUAAUUGGGAUGGAAAUUAUGAGGUAGUGAAGAUUACGAGAAAUCCAGAAGAAAAAUGAAAGUUGUUUACAGGAUUAUUUUUAGGGAUUUUAGGUGUACUUAAAAGGUUUAGUAAAUAAGUUAUAAAAAGGCUUUUAAUAUUACCAUAUUUUUAUUUAAAUUAUUGAAAGACUAAUAUAUAGCUUUAAUCCGUUAUAAUAAUACAUAGCUUUAAUCCGUUGAAGAAG